UGGUAAUUAGUUUAAAACAAAAUAAAUGAUUUCGACUCAUUAGAUUGUGAUUAAAUUCAUAAUUACCAA
This 69-nucleotide transfer RNA is filed under the name Rusa unicolor (Sambar). RNAcentral describes it as "tRNA-Arg". It matches the Rfam family "tRNA". Rfam says of the family: Transfer RNA (tRNA) molecules are approximately 80 nucleotides in length. Their secondary structure includes four short double-helical elements and three loops (D, anti-codon, and T loops). Lineage: Eukaryota; Metazoa; Chordata; Mammalia; Artiodactyla; Cervidae. The record is from RNAcentral.